GGGAUUCAUCCUUCCAUUCACCACCCGCGCCAAAAUUCUAAUUCAGCAGUUGUGGAACAAACAGAGGGGUUGGGAUGAUCCCAUGUUGCCCACAGAUUUGGUGAAAGCCUGGUGUGAAUGGGAGAAUGAACUACCCAUUCUUUCUCAGGUCACACUUCCCCGAUGUUAUGUUACACCAGAUAUGGAUAGGCCCAAUACCACAAAACAAAUUCAUAUCUUCUGUGAUGCUUCAGAGCAAGCAUACGGUGCCGUAGCAUACCUGAGAACUGAAGAUCAAGAAGGUAGAAUACAGCUUGCUUUUCUGAUUGGCAGAUCCAAAAUUGCCCCUAAACGUAAACAAACCAUUCCUAGACUAGAGCUAUGUGCAGCCCUAAUCGGUGCCCAACUAUCGAAGCUGCUUGAAAAUGAACUCACUCUUAAGAUCAGCCGAGUGAUCUUAUGGUCAGAUUCAACUACAGUUCUUUCAUGGCUAAGAUCUGAAUCUUGCAGUUUUAAAGUUUUUGUAGGCACUAGAAUAGCAGAAAUCCAAGAUCUAACUGAGUCACACGAUUGGCGAUAUGUAGAUACAGCCAGAAACCCAGCCGAUGAUCUAACAAAGGGGCGUAGCUUAGUAGAACUUGUUACACCUAACAGGUGGAGUUUAGGUCCACCCUUUUUACUUAAAGCAGAAUCAGAGUGGCCAACCCUGCCACCUCUUAAGACCCCUGAAGAUAAAGUGGAAAGGAGAGCUAGUAUAUUCUGUGGUGUCACCCAAACAUUAAAGCCCUUAGACCCUAGUAAGUACCACUCUUGGAAAGAUCUUGUUGAAGCCAUAGUUCAACAACACCCAAGUGACUUAGAUCAAUCUAGUAUACCUACAGCUAAGGACUAUGUGACAGCAGAACAUCUCCUCUUCCGCAAUAUUCAACAAGAUAGUUUCCCAGAAGAAUACGAGCAACUAAGCUCUGGUAAGCCCGUAUCCCCUACAAGUAGAUUACUCACUUUAGCCCCAGAACUCGAUAAAGCCAGUCAGCUUAUACGGGUAGGAGGACGCCUACGUCGUGCUGAAGGCUUAGAACUCCAAACAGUUCACCCUAUUGUCCUAGACCCUCAUCAUCAAGCCACCAAAUUACUCAUUCAAGACUAUGAUAGUAAGCUAUGUCACCCAGGACCAGAACGAGUAUUUGCUGAAAUGAGGAGAAGUGUCUGGAUACUUAGAGGUCGUGAAGCAAUUCGAAAAUCCCAACAUAACUGUAUGGAGUGUCGUAAGUGGAAGGCUAAACCUGAGAACCCUAAGAUGGCUGAUCUUCCUCCAGCACGCUUGAGACUUCAUAAACCACCCUUUUAUAGUACUGGUAUGGAUUGUUUUGGACCUUUCCAAACCAAAAUAGGCAGGCGUUUAGAGAAAAGAUGGGGAAUAAUCUUUAAGUGUCUUACAACUCGAUGUGUACACAUUGAGCUUCUCACAGCUAUAGACACAGAUUCUUUCCUCAUGGCUCUGAGGAGAUUUAUAGCACGUAGAGGCACCCCCUCAGAACUGAUAUCUGACCAAGGCACUAACUUCCAGGGUGGACAGAGAGAGUUAAAAGAUGCUUUAAAGAAUUGCAGCCAAGAACUUCAACGGCAUCUUGCCAAACAGAAGAUCGAAUUCCGAUUUAACCCACCUAAUGCCCCUCACUUUGGUGGCAGCUGGGAAAGGGAGAUCCGAUCUCUUAAAAAUGCCCUCCGUACAGUAGUAGGUGCGCAAACAGUAACAGAAGAAGUUCUUCAAACAGUACUUAUUGAAAUAGAAGGAAUCCUUAAUAGCAAACCUUUAGGUUAUGUCUCCUCCAAUGUAGCAGAUUUAGACCCAAUCACCCCAAAUCUUCUGCUCAUGGGGCGGCUAGACAGCUCUUUACCUCAAGUGAUAUACCCUGCCGAUGAACUCAUAGGACGACGUAGAUGGAGACAAAGUCAAGUUCUCACUGAUCACUUUUGGUCAAGCUUCGUGAGACACUACUUACCCAAUCUCCAGCUACGCCACAAAUGGUAUGGAGAAACUAAAAUUCUUACAGUUGGGUCUGUCGUCAUGAUCGUUGAUCCUCAGUUACCACGAGCCCUUUGGUUGAUCGGGAGAGUGUCAAAGACAUUCCCUGGAGCAGAUGGACAAGUUAGGUCUGCAGAGGUCAACGUUAAAGGUCGAUUAUACACACGGCCAGUUACCCGACUCAUUAAUCUACCAGAGAUAGCAGUUGAAGACGACACCAAGAUCAAAUCGGCAGACUUUUAGCUAAGAUUUAGAAGCAAAUAUGCUAUGCAUAUUUGGGGGCGGCAGUGUUAGAAAGGAUUCCUAUUUAGUUGUAAUUCCAUGCUUCACCACUAGAGGCAGAUAUACAGCUUACUAAGCAAUGACAAGCUAUCUGUGACAUCACAGUACACCGUCCUCCACCAAGAGUAUAAAAGACCAGAACACGGAGCUGCAGGAGGCAGUCUGCAUCACGCAACCUACCGAACAGAAGCUAGCAGAAGACAGCAAGAAUCACCUCAUAUGCAAUCAAUUCUAUACUCAGUAAACUGCUCCCAUUAGGGGUCGCCACAGCAGAUCAUC
This is an RNA transcript of Silurus meridionalis, 2566 nucleotides long. RefSeq lists it as uncharacterized. The record is from RefSeq and is a predicted model, not a curated record. The transcript has 2 exons. NCBI's taxonomy places the organism in Eukaryota, Metazoa, Chordata, Actinopteri, Siluriformes, Siluridae.